Long non-coding RNA from Homo sapiens (human), 1856 nucleotides. The record is from Ensembl. NCBI's taxonomy places the organism in Eukaryota, Metazoa, Chordata, Mammalia, Primates, Hominidae.
GGGCGCACAAUAGCAGAGGUCUGGCGUGUGGCGGUUUGCUGUAGGGACAAUCGAGGCUUUCUCUUCAUAGCAACACUGUCCACCUGCCGCCGGGUGGGGUGGGCAGGACCCCGCCGCGCGUGGGGGUCGCCGGGCUGCCUGGCGCGUGGGGUCGAGGCUGAGUGCCACUCCGUGGUCCCUGAGUGCACGCCCCCAGUACUGGCCCUGCUACAAGUAAUUCCCUUCCAUCCGUUCCUCGCACGGGUGCCGAACAGCCGCGCGAGUUGGGAAGGACGGAGAGCUGCUGUGCAGUCUUCGCGGCUGGACGCCCUGUGGCCGGGACCCCGCGGCUGCAGCCCCUGGAGCUUAGACGGAGUCUCGCUCGGUUGCCCAGGCUGGAGUGCGGUGGCACAAUCUCGGCUCACUGCAACCUCCGCCUCCCGGGUUCAAGCGAUCCUUCUGCUUCAGCCUCCCGAGUAGCUGGGACUACAGGUGCAUCUCAGAUGCCUUCCAGCAUGUGAAGGACACCAUUGCAUUGGCUCUCACCACCACCAUGCCCUCCUCCUUACCCAGGGUGAAGCAUGAAUCUGCACAUGGGGAGGCUUCAGAGGACAACUGAGACAAGAAGCAGGAAGCUGAGAAAGGAGGACACCUCCCACACACACAUCUAGCAAAAGCUGGACAUUUCUGGUCAGUCAUCCUUAUGCAAAGACUUUCUGGAAGGAGCAGUUAUUCUUGGGUGAGCACUUAUGUAGCAUGAAAGAGGUUAACAUUAGCCCAGGGAAAUCCUUCAAAGUAAUUGAGGGGGAAGGAUACAUUAUUUAUGCAUUUGUUCCCUUCUCUAUCGACAGUAAGAAAUGAUUCAUGGCACCUGUCACAGUCCUAGGUAGUGACAGACACCAGCCUGCACUGUAGCUGAAAACCCCUGAGAAGCCACAGAUGUGCAGUCUUCCCAGCUUGACUACAUGCCCAAGUCUUCUGAACCUUAGUUUCCCAACCUAGGAAAUAAAAAUUGUGCCCUUUACCCCUCAUGAACCUUAUUGGGGUCUUAUAAGAUUGCUCCUGGUUGCCAUUUGGCCCACAGAUGGGUUUAGUUUGGUGGACAGUGUCCCGAAAGACUUACAAAUUCAGAUCUGACUUGUUCAUUUGUGUAGGGGAGAGUUGGUGGCACACAUCCUCUCUGUCACUGUAAGUAUGUUCCAAAUGUCACAUUAGGUCCACUGGCACGUGUAAGCCCUGUCUGGCAUUUGCCUGGUCCCUGCAGGCAUUUGGGUUGGCAGUAAACUUUCUUUUCUAACAGAUUUCUGGAAAUGUUUACAUGUAGCAUAUAAUAGAAUAAUAGAACCACAGAACUUCCACAGUAAAGCCUUCCUUCUUUUAUGUUCCAAAAGCUAAAAUGUACUAACAACCUCCAAAAGGCACUAUGACAUUGGAGUUUAAACUUUGUGGAGCAGGACUCAAAGCUGGACUUAGCUGCUUGCUAACUUUGACCUUGAGUGAAGAGUUAGCAGAUGAUUUAAAGUGUAAAGUAGAAAGAAUUCAUGCUGGUUAGCCCAUUAAAUACCCGUUAAUUAAGCUCUCCAAAAACGCCAUUCAAAAAUGUAUAUGAUAAUCAAAUAUUUAUUGCAAUGUUUCUUAAAAUAGUGAAAAAUUAGAAAACAUUAUAGGGGGCUAGUGUUAAAUCAUGGUGUAACCAGAAAUGAAACAUUAUGCAACCAUAAAAAGGAGUUCUGAAGAGUAGUUCCCGGCAUGAUAUAAUGUGAAAAAAAGCAAAAUACGAAAUUGUGCAAUUCUAAUUUUGCAAAAACUUUCAGCGUACACGACUAUCACUGUAUAAAGUCACAAAGUAGGAAUGGUGAUUGUAUCUUGGAGUGAUG